RNAcentral lists this ribosomal RNA (769 nucleotides) under Acinetobacter sp. SO65Braf. RNAcentral describes it as "bacterial SSU rRNA". It matches the Rfam family "Bacterial small subunit ribosomal RNA", at positions 95 to 863 of the family's 1533-position model. Lineage: Bacteria; Pseudomonadati; Pseudomonadota; Gammaproteobacteria; Moraxellales; Moraxellaceae. The record is from RNAcentral.
GCGGCGGACGGGUGAGUAAUGCUUAGGAAUCUGCCUAUUAGUGGGGGACAACAUCUCGAAAGGGAUGCUAAUACCGCAUACGUCCUACGGGAGAAAGCAGGGGACCUUCGGGCCUUGCGCUAAUAGAUGAGCCUAAGUCGGAUUAGCUAGUUGGUGGGGUAAAGGCCUACCAAGGCGACGAUCUGUAGCGGGUCUGAGAGGAUGAUCCGCCACACUGGGACUGAGACACGGCCCAGACUCCUACGGGAGGCAGCAGUGGGGAAUAUUGGACAAUGGGGGGAACCCUGAUCCAGCCAUGCCGCGUGUGUGAAGAAGGCCUUUUGGUUGUAAAGCACUUUAAGCGAGGAGGAGGCUACCGAGAUUAAUACUCUUGGAUAGUGGACGUUACUCGCAGAAUAAGCACCGGCUAACUCUGUGCCAGCAGCCGCGGUAAUACAGAGGGUGCAAGCGUUAAUCGGAUUUACUGGGCGUAAAGCGCGCGUAGGUGGCCAAUUAAGUCAAAUGUUGAAAUCCCCGAGCUUAACUUGGGAAUUGCAUUCGAUACUGGUUGGCUAAAGUAUGGGAAANGAUGGUAGAUUCCAGGUGUACUGUUGAAAUGCUAAAAAUCUGGGAGGAAUACCGAUGGCGAAGGCAGCCAUCUGGCCUAAUAUGACACUUAAGUUCGAAAAGCAUGGGGAACAAACAAGGAUAAAUACCCUGGGUAUNCAUGCCGUAAACAUUUCUAUAACCCUUGGGGCCUUGAGGCUUUAAUGGCNCACUAACCCAUANN